GAUGAACGCUGGCGGCGUGCCUAAUACAUGCAAGUCGAGCGAACAGACGAUGAGGUUGCUCGUCUGACGUUAGCGGCGGAAGGGUGAGCAAGAGGUGGAUAAGCUACUUAUAAGACUGGUAGAGCGUGGGAAAACCGGGACAAAAACGGUAAAAUAUAUUGAACUGAAUUGUUGAAUAGUAAAAGACGGUUAUGCGGUCUCGUAUAGAUGGAUCCUGGCCGCAUUAGCUAGUUGGUAAGGUAACGGCUUACGAAGGCAACGGUGCGUAGCAGACCUGAGAGGGUGACCGCCCCACCUGGACUUGAGACCCGCUCCAGCCCCCUCCGGGAGGACGCAGUAGGAAAUCUUCCGCAAUGGGCGAAAGCCUGCCGGAGCACCGCCGCGUGAGUGAUGAAGGUCUUCGGAUCGUAAAACUCUGUUAUUAGGGAAGAACAAAUGUGUAAGUAAAUAUGCACGUCUUGACGGUACCUAAUCAGAAAGCCACGGCUAACUACGUG
RNAcentral lists this ribosomal RNA (497 nucleotides) under uncultured bacterium. Its description in RNAcentral is "partial 16S ribosomal RNA". It matches the Rfam family "Bacterial small subunit ribosomal RNA", at positions 28 to 507 of the family's 1533-position model. The record is from RNAcentral.